Sesamum indicum (sesame) is the source of this 1306-nucleotide long non-coding RNA. RefSeq lists it as uncharacterized. The record is from RefSeq and is a predicted model, not a curated record. Lineage: Eukaryota; Viridiplantae; Streptophyta; Magnoliopsida; Lamiales; Pedaliaceae.
UUGUGUGUUGUGUUUGCGUGCGCUUCUGGUGUAUUGAACUCGCUGGAUUGGAGCAGACGGAUUUCAGAAAAUCGAAGCAGCUAACCCUUAUCAUUUUUGCGUGCAGUGAUCCUCUCUUUCUCCCAGCUAAUUACCUGCUUGUUUUUGUUGAAGUGGAGCUGCUGCUGUAGUUUCUUCAUGUGCAGCAGAGCAGCAGAAAACAAAAACAGAGCAUCUCGCAUUCUCGCAUUCACGACUUAUCCGAGGGCUUUUGCACUUUUAUUUCUUUCUUAGUUAUUAGCAACUUCUUCAUUGUACAUAUUGCUUUUCUCUUUUAGCGUUUCUCAUUAGUCAUUAGCGUUUUUCUACCAGAAUAGCUGAGGUGGCUGAAGUUUUGUUUUUUCUUCACCUGCAUUGUACCUCUGUGUAUUUUAAAUGGGUAUCCACACCCACUUUCAAUUCAAUAAAAUUCUUCCUCUCAGAUUUUAUACCUGCUUGCAAAGAUCCUCUCCAUGAAUGGAGAUUUUUUGAAGCUUCUCAGCAGUUUUCCCUUGUUCUUUCCGAUGGUUUAAAUUUCAUUUUUCCUUUUAAUUUCUGAGUCUUCACCAAUGAAACAGAUUUUCUUAGAAAUUUCUAAGUUCUAUGAUUCUUUCUCCAUCUUAAAACUUUGAUUUUUUUCCCCUUUAGGGUGUCGAAAGUUCGAACUUUCUUGUGCACUGGAUGCCCUUUUACUCUUUAACAGCUUUUUACCUCUUCUUUCCCUUUUCCUUUUUGCUCAUUAUUGAUUGGAUCUUCAGCAAGCUGAUGCAUUGAUCCGUAUUUAGGACUUUCUACGCUUUUCUGUUUGCUAUCGUUUGAAGUUGGUAAUUUUUCCUUUUCUGAAAAAUCCUUCUUCUCUCAUUUUCUUUUUCUGUGAAUGAACUGUCAGCCUAUGUCCUUUAUUUCAGUGAAUUAUUUUGAUAUAAAAAGCCAUGAAGAUAAUUUUUAGUUUUGAGGAUUUGAAAUCGGCAUAUAGCUUUGGGCCUCACGGACAAAUUGACGUUCACUUACACAUUGUUAGUAAUCAUUAUUAAUCAUGUUAAUUUGGCGAAUAGUGUGGAUCGCUCACGCAAGAAUGAUGCGAGUUAAUGCUUGGUGUUCGAACUAGUUGCAGUAAAGAGCCAAUUCAGUGUAAACGACAGUUUUGAGAAGAAUUAAACUACACAUGAUGAGCUUGAUAGGCGUAAUGUCGUAUGGAGUUUGCAGAUACAACCGGCCAACGGCCAACCUCUGUUGGAUGAAUUGCUUUAUUUGUGGUUGUGGCAGACUUCUCUCAUAAGUUUGAAGA